UUACGCCUCUUACCCUUUAUCUGAGAUACCGGCGGAUUUUGCCAGCCUCCUCGAAUUCUUCUUACCUUUUGUCCUGCGUUACACGCCGGGGAAAGGAAUUCUGGGAUCGUGUGUUAUGCUGAUGCAAAAUGUUUUUAAGAAGUAAAGAAGUUGUAAAACAGUGGAUACAAGUGUAUAUUUAUAAUACAAGAAAUGACGAUUCUGAAAAAGAAGCUGAUGACCAGAAUAAGGGAUAGGAAGAUGACCUGUUUGCUUGAAGAGCGAGACCAGAGAGCAAGGAGCGGAGUAACUUGAUCCUUGAGGGUGCCUUUGGCUUAAGGGGGAAGCUGACUCUUCCGGAGAAUCCUGGAGCCGACAACAAAGGAACUCAGCACCCAGCUAACUUCCAGGAAGAAGCUUCCUUUCCUCCCCCUGCUUUUCCCCUUUCCCCUCCUUUCUCUCUCUGCAGCCAUCAGAAAUAAACUCUGGCUCAUUUCAUCUGAAAUAUGCUUUAUUCCAAGGAGAGUAAUAGCUCAGAGAAUCUCUGAAAAAAUCUCUAGAAAAAUCUCUAGAAAAGACAAGGAAACAGAUUAUCCCCUAGAGCCUCCAGAAGGGACUCUUGCCCUAUUUCCAGCACGGGUGUACCCAACAUGGUUCUCACUGGAAUUACAGCAAAUUGGAAGACAGUGGUGGUGACACAGGGUGAAGAACUACUUUUCAGAGGGUGAAACACAAGACUGGCUUUUAGGAAUUUUACCCCAAAGUAAUUUGUGACUGCAUCCUGUUGCCGAAACUUGGCCUCUGUUCACCGGUGCCGAAGAGGAACGCGGAGACAGAGUUUUGGGUGAAGUAGAAAAGAGUAGCUUUUAUUGCUUUGCCAGGCAGAGGGGGCCACGGCGGGCUAAUGCCCUCAAGACUGUGUGACCCACCCUGGAGGGCGUAGUGAGGAGUCUUACAGCGUCCGAGGAGCAGGGCGUGAUCCGCUCGCGGACAGUUCUCAGACUGGCUGGCAUCAAGGGGACGUUUCAAGCGUCAUCAACUUUCUGGUUUCAGCCAGUCCAGGGUCUAUGUGCUUGUGGGCAGCACUUUCCAUCUGGAGGGGGUCUGCUCCCUGUAAAACCACUUAGGAGUGUGUGUCAGGCCUUUAUCUGUAGCUUCAGUGAACUGGAAGUUCGGUGAUUCUGCCAUGUGGCGGAUUUAGAGUCUAAAUUGUUGCCCGUUCCCCAGCCCAACAGCUGUUCUUUGUUUCUACACCUUCACAUUCCCUAAUCAUUAAGUCUUUACUUCAAAAGACAAGGACACGGGGGCUCGUACACGGUUUCAACCCUGACCAGGUCUGAGACUUACACGAUGCAUAUGCUGUUGUUUUCAUAAACGUUAACGUCCAUAAAAUGAAGUUCUUAAAAGCA
Balaenoptera acutorostrata (minke whale) is the source of this 1388-nucleotide long non-coding RNA. RefSeq lists it as uncharacterized. NCBI's taxonomy places the organism in Eukaryota, Metazoa, Chordata, Mammalia, Artiodactyla, Balaenopteridae. The transcript has 5 exons. The record is from RefSeq and is a predicted model, not a curated record.